UGGCGGACGGGUGAGUAACACGUGGGUAAUCUGCCUUAUACAGGGGGAUAACAGUUAGAAAUGACUGCUAAUACCGCAUAAGCGCACGGAAACGCAUGUUUCAGUGUGAAAAACUCCGGUAGUAUAAGAUGAGCCCGCGUCUGAUUAGCUGGUUGGUGGGGUAACGGCCUACCAAGGCGACGAUCAGUAGCCGGCCUGAGAGGGUGGACGGCCACAUUGGGACUGAGACACGGCCCAAACUCCUACGGAAGGCAGCAG
Molecule: ribosomal RNA, 258 nt
Filed under: uncultured bacterium
Lineage: Bacteria
Description: partial 16S ribosomal RNA
Rfam family: Bacterial small subunit ribosomal RNA
Source: RNAcentral